This 6703-nucleotide long non-coding RNA is filed under the name Nicotiana benthamiana. Its description in RNAcentral is "long non-coding RNA (NBEN_LNC034358)". The record is from RNAcentral. Lineage: Eukaryota; Viridiplantae; Streptophyta; Magnoliopsida; Solanales; Solanaceae.
AAAUAACCCAAAACCCCGAGAAAAAACGAGAUUGAAAACCCCGAGUUUUAUUGAAUUGAUUUUGUUUUUAGAUUUAAUAACCCGACAGAAUUGGUUUGGUUUGAUAAUUGUAAAAUUCGAACCAACCCGACCUAUGUACACCCUAGUGCAGAGUCAGAGGCGCUACAAAAUUUAAGGUCUAUGGGUUUUGGGAGGUUACUCCGUUUAAAUUACUGAAUUCCAACUUAAUAAUCUGUACAUAUUUAAUGAAUUUCUUAAAACACAGAAUUUAAAUUAAGGUUAUUGGAUUCGACCGAACCCCAAGAUGUAUGCUAGCUCCGCCUAUGAGUGCAAUUCCAAUACAAGAAAAUACCCUGAAUAAUCUUCAGAUAUCUCUUUUUUCUUUUUCUUUUUGAUGUAAAAUUUUAAAUACUUCUUGUGAUUGAAAAUGAAAAACCUAUCCUCUGGAAAGAAAGUGGUCUGGUCACUCUCCAUCAGGAUGGCCUUUCAGAGAAAGGAAAGAAAAGCAUCAAAGUUUUGAGCUUCAAGUGGUCAAAAAAGCAUUGAAAAAGAAAUUCCUCAAGUAUUUUCAUUGUGGUCCCAAUUUUGCCAGGAUCUGCCUCAAAAUUUAAGUUUCAACUUACUGCAAUUUGUACAAAUAUAUAACAGUAAUCAACAAGAAUCUAUAAAAGAAACACACCCAGAAUACUUAGGCUAGGUUCUACCUAGUUGAAAUGAUGUUAAGCAUAGCCAGAAUCUUGAUCAAAAUAUAUGCAAGGCUUUGAUUUCAAGUUUUCUACAUUUACCAUAUUCUUGAAUAAAAAUGUCUAAUCAUCAAGUAAAACUUUAGUUAGUGCAAAUCUCUAGAAACUAGAAUAUAGAGUCAUUACUUAGAAGGGGAACAAACUUGUCAUAUCUCUUCUAAGCCAUUCAUCCGCUAAAACCAACCAAAGAAGAAGUGAUUUUAGUACUACACAAGCAAAUAUAAUAGCAUCCACAUGGGGCAAUAACAAAAAGAAUUGAGAAUGAGAAAAUUCAUCAUAUUCCAACCAUGUCCAAGCAACAUUAUUCUACAUUUCGCUUUUCGGCUUAGUUUAUAAAAACAUGAUUGCCUGAUAACUAUUAUCCAGGAUGGUAUAAACUGAGCAUCCGAGUUAAUGACAACAGGCUGAUGUUGGAGACUCCAAAGCAUACUACAUAAUCAGGUUUACUUACAAGGAGCAAUAGUCAUGAAGCAUUUGAAUAUUUUCUUGACAAAUUGUCUGCAUAUUCAGAGACUUACAUGACUUGAAUUUCAAACGGCGAGAAAAGGACUUAUCUAACUCAAAUUUUGAAGUGAGUAGGAAAAAAAUGUUUACCCUAGGAAUUCCAGGUCGUCUUCUCUCCGCUGGAGAUGUCAAGUGUCUUCCACAUACAAGAUGACGAGAUACUAUGUAACCUGAGGAAAGGUUGCCAGCAACUCCCCUUUCAAAUACAUCACAGACAACAUAGAUCUUGAGCGCCACUCUGUUGAAUUUAACAUCUAUAUUCUUGUUCUUUUGUUGUACACGAGAGUUCACUCAUAACAUGGAGAUGCAAGUAAAACUUUAGGAUGAUUGUGUUGUUUCAAUCACCAUACACAAAUUAACAAAUAGAUAAAUAAAUAAAAAAUUUAAAAAUCACCAUUCAUUGAACAUGCACUAUUUCAGGAACAUUGAUUUUACUCAACAGUUGACAUAUAUUCACAAAGGUUGUCGCAGUCUUUUGUGGAUUUAGGAGCAGAUGCUCUGCCACAAUCAGUAUUAAUAAACUUCUAUCCUUAAGUACAUACACCAAUGUAGACACGUAAUUAUACCCAUGUAUGCGCAAUAAGCACAAAUGAGAUUUUGAAAAACAACACAACUUUACACCAAUCACCAGAAUGUCCAUGUCUUUACAAAUAAUAGUAGGUUCAAGUCAUAAACGAAAAGGGUUACAUAUUCAUUACUGAAUACCGACAAUACUAGUCAGGAAGUUAAUUGAUUCAUUCUCCCACUUGUAAUUUGGCAGUCUCCUCAAGAAAUGACAUAAUCUGUGAAACGUGUAGAAUUUAAUAGGACAGGCACCCAAUCAGUAGGCACACGCAGAAACCAUAUCUUCAACACGGCUUAGAGUUCCACUUUGUGAGGAUUCUUAACUAUAGCAAUUUUUUCAAAAUUUCAUGAGGCUUUUUAAGAAAGAAAGAACUGUAUAAAGCCAGCUGUAGAUGUUCAUAAAGAAAUAAAUAAAUAAGAACUAGUCUCCAAGGCUGGGAUUUUCAAACAGAUGCUUAUGUCUAUGAGAUGAGCCUGAAAUAAUCCAACAAUGAAUAGAUCAGCUUAGCAACCAACAUAAUUUGGAUCCGCUCCUAAAUAAAUUUAACGUAAAAGAAUUUCAUGAAGAUAUUGCUCAACUACUGACUAACGUGAUCCACAACCAACUAAAUGUGGAUUGUUUGAUCGAUGUCCCAGUGUAUUUAGGGUCUGAUUUAGGCGAAAGACAAGCAAUUCCAGGGCUUUUUUCUUUGACUAAUUUUCAGAUUUUGUACAAUUAUGUACAGCUUAUGAUUAGUGAAUUCAGGGCGAUACCCUGCUUCGCCUUUGUUUCUCCAAAACUUUCGUUAGUUAAAAAAAACUCUUUGAUUCAACAAAUAAUACAUAUGCACCAAAAUCCAAACUUUUCACAAAUACCUAAAAACUGAUAAGCAUAAUAAAGGAAUGUUCAUGAUAAUGGAAAUGCAAUAUAAAGUUUUCAAAAAUUAAUCACCUGAUUUUCUUUAAGAGAAACACGAAAUAUAUAUUAAUCCCGCUUUGGCAAUUACCACAAAUUAAAGCAAAAGAAGAAGGGGAUGGAAGACACAGUAACUUAUGAGAUUGUUAAAGAAUGGUCAAUUACAUAACUGAAAGAACCAGAUUGUUUCCUUUUAAGCAAAUUAAGAUCAGCCAAGUGCAAUAAUCCAGGGAACUUGAAAUUAUGCAAUAACUUGAGGAGCAAAAAAGCAAGUUGUCCUGGAAAUUCUCUUAUCAACACCCAAAAAUUGUACCAGCUCAACUUGAUGUUGUAUUUAAAUAGUUCCCUUUCUAACUGGAUUCAUAUCAUAAAGAGUAAUCAAUUUAAAGAUGGACAACGGUACAUACUUGUUAAGUUGUUAUGUGCUCGACUUGUAUUUUUCAAAAUCGUGAAUUUUCAUUUGUGCUGAGACUCCUGAAGUGCACUGUUAAAGCUACAUCUGCAUUAAAAGGCAAAUGUGCUUAACCGAACCAAUGUUGGCAGACCACUUAAGAUACAAGUAGAAUUGAACCACCAAGGACUGAGAUGUUUUGUAUCUGCACGAAUACUUGACCAAGCAAGAGGUCAUAAUAUUGUAAGAGACCACAAGGGAAGGAAUUCAAGCAUGCAUAAAUGGAGGACUAAGAAGACAAGUUGCAUUUUGCAAAAUACUCACUCUACUCGUAUAAACUCUUUUCUCCCAGAUGAAGCAGCAGGCAUAGGUCCGUACUGUAGAACCUAUAAAAAGGAGAUGGUUGUGGCACGAAGUACUCUUGUGCACCUACGUCAUUCGGCUCGCGUGCAAGCCCGCCUACUUAUAUUAUGGAAGAAUUGAGCUUAUUCUUGGGCUAGCUUUUCAGAGCCAGCAAUUGGCUGUCGAAAUUCGUUCCGCAACUAGAAGAAGACCACUUCGGGAUCACUGUUGUGUGGCUGAAUGUAUAGCAGUCCGUCUUUACGGCUUUGAUUAGUAAAUAAUUAAGAACUUCGGAAGACGGUCAAAGUAGCUUGCUUCCAAGUCACUGCACUAGAUGGACAUGUAGUCGCAGUAGUCGGCCCAAAAUGCCUCUCUUCUUUACUAAAAUACUAUUUCGUAACCUUCCUUAUCUUUAUUUUAUUGAUACAGCCUAUACCUAUUUCCUCUUGCUUCGCCCGGCCGGGCCUCUACCUCAUAAAAAAUCCUGUUUAGGAAGCUAGCACCCGCUCUCGCUCAAAUAUACGUGUAGGGGGAAGCACCAAUGAAAGUGAACCUUUAUUGCUUCCUUUUCUCUUUGAACCGAUUAGAAGGAAGGCAAUAGCUCCUCCUACAUACGAGUAUGUAGAUCCUGAACUAAGGUAUGAUUAUGAACAUCAUUGACAUCAGUCUUUUUGGAUUAUGGGUGACAGGUGAAUGCCAAAGUCCGAAAAGCAUGAGCAGUAAACUAUGCUCGAUUAGGAGUAUACAUAUAACCACAUCGUGUGUAAAAUUUUGAUAAAAUUGUCAAUGAAACAAUACAUACAUGUUCAUGAUCUCAACAAAGUGAGAUAUAUGAAACCAAAAACCUAGUGGGAAGAAUUCACGAGCCAAGUGGCAUGGGUUGGACCGACAAUCUAAACUUGGUUGAUUUAUGCAAUCUAGGAACGCAAUUGACACAUUAGAAAGUGAAUAUGGGUAUUGAAGAGUUCUUUUUCCUAGACCAAAUAGGCCAAGAUUACCAGCCCACUUCGAUUGUAGUAACUGGAAAUCUGAAAACUUUGCAUUUGUCAAGGUCAUGGUUAACAUAUUCGAACGGAACGAAGUAAACAUAGAACUCAAAUAUUUUCCCAUGGAGCAGAGUAGGAACCAAAACCUUUCCCUCUGUUGAUUCAGAAUAACAUGCAUUGCAUGAAUAAACUAAGGACAAAGAACAAAUGCCUUAGAAUUAUAGUUUAAAAUAGUCGACUCAGUAGAUUGGACUGCUUGAUGUGCAUGCUGUACUCAAUCUCACCAAAAAUUAACUGAUGGAAGCCUUCACUGUAGGAACUUAAUGCAGCAGAAACUGUUGAAGUUGAAACUGGACUAUUAGAAUCAUAUGCACAAAAUGGGAAUAUGGACAUGCAAGAAAACAUGCACACACUUUAGCGACUUCCAAUACGUAAGAGGCCCCAACCUUGUGGUAUAUUGAUUUAGCAUGGUAUUUCUGUAUUGUAUCGACUGAACUACACGCUUUGUCCAAAUACUCAACUGCUAGCCUUUACUCCCUUCAAACAUACGUCUGUAUAUAUGUAAGCACUUGUCUUUUGUUCCUUGUAAAGUUUUGGUACACUGCUGAGGUUCUAGUUAGUAUAGAUGGUUGUAUGUCUUUCAUAGAGAAACCAUGUUUUUGUACAGGUUCUCUACUUUUUGCAUACCACUUCUUUACCUAGAGAUUUCCGACUACAUUGAUACAAUUAUUAUCUUAUUGUGAUUUAUAAAAUUAAAACAACAACACGCACCUCAACUUCAAGUUCUGAAAGUACAUGCUUGCAAGGAGACCUACUAGUCAAUAUGAACUACAAUUCGAAUCGCCAUAAUCUUGCAGCUAAGCCAAAGCAGGAGUUAAUUAUAUUGUGUGAAAAAUUGGGAACUAGUGAUAGAAGAUAUUGCAACAAGCAUCAAGUAGCAAGAAAAACGUCUAAUCCAUCAAAGACAAAGUAGCCCGUAUAUUACUGCUUGCAGAGAAUUUAAACAGUAAUAUCAUAAUAAUCCUCAUCUUCACUCUGAAGCAUUUAAUCUUGUAUCAUUACGAGCCUUAUUUUGCACAAUUUUGAGCUCACAAUUCAAUUGUCCUAGAGUCUACAUUCACGUAUCCAUGAAAAGCAUGAGACACAAGAAUCAACUGCUUCCUACUAAGCUUUCUUUUUAUUGAGGAGUAUUAUGAAAGAGAAGAAAAUAUUAGGUGUUGUUGCUAAAAGUAAAGUCUCGACCAUUUCAGCAUGUGUCUUGAAUAUAGAUUUCAGUUUGGCAAGACCAUUUUCAGUUAACACAGGCAAUUGCCAGAUUGUACAGGAGAAGUGACGCACAUGUGUUGCAGAAGCCAAUGGGCAUAGGCUUGCAAAUAUGGAGUAAUUCACCAUGGGAAGGUUAAAGUUAGUAGUAUAUUAUCAUGCAAAUCCUAAGCCGAAGGUCUUCCGGAGACGGCCUCUCUGCCUUCUUGAAGGUAGGGGUAAGGUCUGCUUACAUUUAUCCUCCCCAUACUCCACUUGUGCGAAUACACUGGGUUUGUUGUUGUAUUAUCAUGCAAAUUUGGGCAGCUAGUUAUAACUUGCAGGGUUUCAGAAAUGUAAAAGUUCUACCAAUAAGUAAGCAGAAAUUUCAGAAGAUCAUUAGUCUAAGACCUGUAUUGAUGGCUGGGAAAGGUAAAAGAACAACUACGCCUCACUUGUACACUAGCUUAGGUCAGCUAUAUGAAUCCUCUAUAUCCAUUAAGCUAAGAGGGAUUUUGAAAAUGCCACAUAUGAUAGCAAAAAGUCGGUGUGGCCCUCAUUGAGCAAAAUCAUCAUACCUAGACUUGAAAUGUCUGAAGGAUUACCAUGUGCUGCAUUUGUUUUGCUAGAGCUUCAAGUGGCACAACUUGACCUUGUUAUGGGGGGAGUCCUUGUUUUCCUUUCUACUUGUGAUAGAGAUGAGCUCGUCAAAGCAACACAUAUUCCAAGGUUUGUGCUUGUCAUUGUGUCGCUUCAGUGAACAUCAUUACCCGCACUAGUGCUGCUAGUACAUAUGGGACUGCUGGUUUCUUUUUUAUUGAGCAUGGGAAUAUUGUUAUGAAUCAGCCUCAACCCACUAUUGGGCUGAAAAGAGCUAUUAGGCCGAGAAGAAGCCAGAGGACUAGAAGGCCUUUAAAAAUGUUAAUUUGGGAUCUAGGCACAAGAGGUGCUGUCAGGGAUUGGUUAAAAGGGACUAGUGGUUAGCAAGGAGGUUAUGCAAGUUAUUGUGAGAAAUUCCCCUCUCCUGGUCUCUCUC